GACUACUGGGGUAUCUAAUCCUGUUUGCUCCCCACGCUUUCGCGUCUCAGCGUCAGUUACCGUCCAGGUGGCCGCCUUCGCCACUGGUGUUCCUCCCGAUAUCUACGAAUUUCACCUCUACACCGGGAAUUCCGCCACCCUCUCCGGCACUCAAGUCUCGUAGUUUCGAACGCACUUCCUCGGUUAAGCCGAGGGCUUUCACAUCCGACUUGCGAGACCGCCUACACGCGCUUUACGCCCAAUAAUUCCGAACAACGCUUGCACCCUCUGUAUUACCGCGGCUGCUGGCACAGAGUUAGCCGGUGCUUCCUUUGGAGGUACCGUCAUCGGACCGGAUUGUUCACCCGGCCCUUAUUCGUCUCUCCCGACAGUGCUUUACGAUCCGAAGACCUUCAUCACACACGCGGCGUUGCUGCGUCAGGCUUUCGCCCAUUGCGCAAGAUUCCCCACUGCUGCCCCCCGUAGG
Molecule: ribosomal RNA, 466 nt
Filed under: uncultured Anaeromyxobacter sp.
Lineage: Bacteria; Pseudomonadati; Myxococcota; Myxococcia; Myxococcales; Anaeromyxobacteraceae
Description: partial 16S ribosomal RNA
Source: RNAcentral